AAAGGAAUUGACGGGGGCCCGCACAAGCGGUGGAGUAUGUGGUUUAAUUCGACGCAACGCGAAGAACCUUACCAGGGCUUGACAUCCCCUGCCAGCAUUGGAAACAAUGUUUUUUACCUUCGGGUAAACAGGGAGACAGGUGGUGCAUGGUUGUCGUCAGCUCGUGUCGUGAGAUGUUGGGUUAAGUCCCGCAACGAGCGCAACCCCUAUCAUUAGUUGCCAUCAGGUAGAGCUGGGCACUCUAAAGAGACUGCCGGUGACAAACCGGAGGAAGGUGGGGAUGACGUCAAAUCAUCAUGCCCCUUAUGUUCUGGGCUACACACGUACUACAAUGGCCGGUACAAAGGGAAGCGAAAGGGCGACCUGGAGCAAAUCCCAUCAAAGCCGGUCUCAGUUCGGAUUGUAGUCUGCAACCCGACUACAUGAAGUCGGAAUCGCUAGUAAUCGCAGGUCAGCAUACUGCGGUGAAUACGUUCCCGGGCCUUGUACACACCGCCCGU
This 500-nucleotide ribosomal RNA is filed under the name uncultured bacterium. RNAcentral describes it as "bacterial SSU rRNA". It matches the Rfam family "Bacterial small subunit ribosomal RNA", at positions 903 to 1397 of the family's 1533-position model. The record is from RNAcentral.